UGGGGAAUAUUGCACAAUGGGCGCAAGCCUGAUGCAGCCAUGCCGCGUGUAUGAAGAAGGCCUUCGGGUUGUAAAGUACUUUCAGCGGGGAGGAAGGGAGUAAAGUUAAUACCUUUGCUCAUUGACGUUACCCGCAGAAGAAGCACCGGCUAACUCCGUGCCAGCAGCCGCGGUAAUACGGAGGGUGCAAGCGUUAAUCGGAAUUACUGGGCGUAAAGCGCACGCAGGCGGUUUGUUAAGUCAGAUGUGAAAUCCCCGGGCUCAACCUGGGAACUGCAUCGGAUACUGGCAAGCUUGAGUCUCGUAGAGGGGGGUAGAAUUCCAGGUGUAGCGGUGAAAUGCGUAGAGAUCUGGAGGAAUACCGGUGGCGAAGGCGGCCCCCUGGACGAAGACUGACGCUCAGGUGCGAAAGCGUGGGGAGCAAACAGG
This 429-nucleotide ribosomal RNA is filed under the name Chloroflexota bacterium. Its description in RNAcentral is "Chloroflexi bacterium partial 16S ribosomal RNA". It matches the Rfam family "Bacterial small subunit ribosomal RNA", at positions 355 to 776 of the family's 1533-position model. Lineage: Bacteria; Bacillati; Chloroflexota. RNAcentral also lists the same sequence under 1 other name. The record is from RNAcentral.